Long non-coding RNA from Carya illinoinensis, 2565 nucleotides. RefSeq lists it as uncharacterized. Lineage: Eukaryota; Viridiplantae; Streptophyta; Magnoliopsida; Fagales; Juglandaceae. The transcript is spliced from 2 exons. The record is from RefSeq and is a predicted model, not a curated record.
GCAAGUCAUAAACCUUAACUUAUUUUACACCUAUUUCUUUCUCUCCCGCUUAGAAGCUCUCUGUUUUUUUUUUUUUUUUCAAACAACAUCAGAUCUAUAUGUGUUCAUUUAGAUCUUUUAGUUUUCAUUUUAUUUUUUAGAUCCUAGAGCUUCUUAUGUUAAACAUGGGUUUGCAUGUUUUGAGGUUUGUCUUUGGGGUUUUUUUUUCACAUUUUUUGUUCGAUGGACUGGAUGUUUUUUGAUUCUCAUUUCAUUUUUUUUAAAAUAGAUGAUUUUUUUUGGUCUUUUGAUAGUUUUUUUUUUUUUUUUCCGUGAAGCCCUUCGUUAACUUUAACUGAAUUUUUUUUUUAAAUCCAUAUUUUUUUUUUUCUGUAUAGAUCAGUUUCCAUGUUUUUAUUCUCUAUUUUUACUAACAUCCAUCAGAAAGUCAGAAAAUUGAUGCCCAUGAUUUUGAGCAACAGCACUUGGUUCCCCACCCCUCACCAAAUAAAGAGCCAAAUCUUGCAACCAUAUUAAUGAUAGGAUAUUGACCAAUUAAAAAGGGAGUGGGAAGUGAUGGAACAAUUCAUCGAUCACGCCGUGUCCGAGUCUAUCUAACAUCAAUAUCUUUAAAAGUAUUCCCCCAACAAGCACGCACACCACGAUAUAUGAUGAAAAGAAAGAGAUCAGAGCUAGCUAGCUAUAGCUCCUAGAUAAAUUAAAGAAAGAAAGAACGAAAGAAAGAAAAGGAGUUGCCAACCAAAAAAGCAACCAAGUAAAUGUACACGUAUGGAUUCCAUCCUCGAUCCCAUCAUCUUGAUCUAUUUAUCUCUCCUAUCUCUUCUAUUAUUGCUUUUAUUGCUUGCUUUCAUCAUCUUACACAGUUCUCCGCACCCUGCAAAGUUAGCUAGCUAGCUAUACUUUAACCACCUCAAAAGAAAACAAAAAGCUAACAAACAACUCCUUGUCUAAUUCUCUCCUUUCCCUUCCUCUCUCUCCCCACCUCUCUUUCGAUCUCUCUCUCUCAAACAGCUUCGUCUUCCGUCUAGAUCUCUUUCUUUCUCUCUAUAUUUCAAUGAUCUCGAUGGCAGACUCUAUUUCUUUCUCUAAACCCAUUUUCAGCCCUCUUUUUUUCAUUUUGAGAAGGAGCUAAGAAGCAAGUCAUAAACCUUAACUUAUUUUACACCUCUUUCUUUCUCUCCCGCUUAGAAGCUCCCUGUUCUUUUUUUUUUUUUUGCAAACAACAUCAGAUCUAUAUGUGUUCAUUUAGAUCUUUUAGUUUUCAUUUUAUUUUUUAGAUCCUAGAGCUUCUUAUGUUAAACAUGGGUUUGCAUGUUUUGAGUUUUGUCUUCGGGUUUUUUUUUUUCACAUUUUUUGUUCGAUCGACUGGAUGUUUUUUGGUUCUCAUUUCAUUUUUUUUAAAAUAGAUGAUUUUUUUUGGUCGUUUGAUGGUUUUUUUUUUUUUUUUUUUUUCCGUGAAGCCCUUCGUUAACUUUAACUGAUUUUUUUUUUUAAAUCCAUGUUUUUUUUUCUGUAUAGAUCAGUUUCCAUGUUUUUAUUCUCUAUUUUUACUAACAUCCAUCAGAAAGUUAUGAUCUUUUUAUUUGUAAAUUGGAUUCUCUUCUCUAAACCCAUUUUCAGCCCUCUUUUUUUCAUUUUGAGAAGGAGCUAAGAAGCAAGUCAUAAACCUUAACUUAUUUUACACCUCUUUCUUUCUCUCCCGCUUAGAAGCUGUCUGUUUUUUUUUUUUUUUUUGCAAACAACAUCAGAUCUAUAUGUGUUCAUUUAGAUCUUUUAGUUUUCAUUUUAUUUUUUAGAUCCUAGAGCUUCUUAUGUUAAACAUGGGUUUGCAUGUUUUAAGUUUUGUCUUCGGGUUUUUUUUUUUCACAUUUUUUGUUCGAUCGACUGGAUGUUUUUUGGUUCUCAUUUCAUUUUUUUUUUAAAAUAGAUGAAUUUUUUUGGUCGUUUGAUGGUUUUUUUUUUCCGUGAAGCCCUUCGUUAACUUUAACUGAUUUUUUUUUUUAAAUCCAUGUUUUUUUUUUCUGUAUAGAUCAGUUUCCAUGUUUUUAUUCUCUAUUUUUACUAACAUCCAUCAGAAAGUUAUGAUCUUUUUGUUUGUAAAUUGGAUUCUCUUACGGGGUUUCAGAUCUAUGAUUCAAUGGUCUUUUUCCCUGAAAUUUUUCCUCUCUUCAGUGGUGUAGUACGUUUAAAUGUGUUAAUAGAUUUGUGAUUUUGUUUGUUUGUUUGUGUUUGGAUUUGUGUAGGUGAGGAUUCAAUUGGCUUAGGGAUCAGCAGCCCAAGGGCGAGGACCAUGCUUGAGGAGGAGGGCUUUGGUGCCUUUUACAAGCUUCCAUUCCAAAGCAAUAGCUGGCACACGUACAGAAGGGGAAAACUCGUGUGCAGAAGGGGAAAAAUAAGAAGAAAUGAGACUCUAGUUUUUCAAAAUUGUAACUUAUUAUAAUGUUUUGUCAUUAUAAUUUAUAGGAAAAGACAAUAGUAUCCCUGCCUAAUUAAUUUGGCACUAUUUUUCUUCAAAAAAUUCAGUUAUUAUAUUAAUGGAAUUUAAACAGACAACACAUUUGGUCA